GGGUUGUGAGGUUAAGCGACUAAGCGUACACGGUGGAUGCCCUGGCAGUCAGAGGCGAUGAAGGACGUGCUAAUCUGCGAUAAGCGCCGGUAAGGUGAUAUGAACCGUUAUAACCGGCGAUUUCCGAAUGGGGAAACCCAGUGUGACUCGUCACACUAUCAUUAACUGAAUCCAUAGGUUAAUGAGGCGAACCGGGGGAACUGAAACAUCUAAGUACCCCGAGGAAAAGAAAUCAACCGAGAUUCCCCCAGUAGCGGCGAGCGAACGGGGAGGAGCCCAGAGCCUGAAUCAGCAU
This 295-nucleotide ribosomal RNA is filed under the name Salmonella enterica subsp. enterica serovar Oranienburg. Its description in RNAcentral is "partial 23S ribosomal RNA". It matches the Rfam family "Bacterial large subunit ribosomal RNA", at positions 1 to 287 of the family's 2925-position model. RNAcentral also lists the same sequence under 4 other names. The record is from RNAcentral. Lineage: Bacteria; Pseudomonadati; Pseudomonadota; Gammaproteobacteria; Enterobacterales; Enterobacteriaceae.